Molecule: non-coding RNA, 105 nt
Organism: Talaromyces marneffei
Lineage: Eukaryota; Fungi; Ascomycota; Eurotiomycetes; Eurotiales; Trichocomaceae
Source: the annotation of a RefSeq genome assembly
ACCCUUGUAGCUCAGUUGGUUAGAUCGUCGUGCUUAUACUUAUAAUGUUCAAUAUGAACGGUAUAUGUAUCACGAAUGUCCCUGGUUCGAGCCCAGGUAAGGGUA